Molecule: ribosomal RNA, 477 nt
Filed under: uncultured bacterium
Lineage: Bacteria
Description: partial 16S ribosomal RNA
Rfam family: Bacterial small subunit ribosomal RNA
Source: RNAcentral
GAUAAACGCUGGCGGCGUGCAUAACACAUGCAAGUCGAACGAUGAAGAUUAAAAGAUUUCUUCGGAAUGAACUUAAUUGGAUUAGUGGCGGACGGGUGAGUAACGCGUGAGUAACCUGCCUUGUACAAGGGGAUAGCCGUUGGAAACGACGAAUAAUACCCUAUGACAUCAAAUAAUCGCAUGAUAAUUUGAUCAAAGAUUUAUCGGUAUAAGAUGGACUCGCGUCUGAUUAGCUAGUUGGUAGAGUAAAAGCCUACCAAGGCAACGAUCAGUAGCCGGCUUGAGAGAGUGUACGGCCACAUUGGGACUGAGACACGGCCCAGACUCCUACGGGAGGCAGCAGUGGGGAAUUUUGCACAAUGGGGGAAACCCUGAUGCAGCGACGCCGCGUGAUUUAGAAGGCCUUCGGGUUGUAAAAAUCUUUUAUAUGGGAAGAAAAUGACAGUACCAUACGAAUAAGGACCGGCUAAUUACGUG